This is a long non-coding RNA of Homalodisca vitripennis (glassy-winged sharpshooter), 1073 nucleotides long. RefSeq lists it as uncharacterized. The transcript is spliced from 3 exons. The record is from RefSeq and is a predicted model, not a curated record. NCBI's taxonomy places the organism in Eukaryota, Metazoa, Arthropoda, Insecta, Hemiptera, Cicadellidae.
AGUGGAUGCGCGCGCAGCCAUGGCCAGCGCAAUCAUUCUGCAGAUGUGUAUAAUUCAAUCUCUGUCUGUAUGAAGGUUGUACUGUGUUUGUUUCCCGAAGUCUGUACAAUUCCCAGGCUAAUAACAGCUUUGCCUGUGCGACUGAGUCAUUUGCCCUCCUUUAUUGAAAUGAGUGAAGCUGUGCCGUGACUGGCUGAAGACCAACCACACAACUGAUAUGAAAAAACAAGUUGGCUUCUUUUUCUCCAGCCUACGCUGUAUGCAGGAAGUGAACUUACUGAUGACACAUAGAGACUCUCUUCCCGUGACGAGGUGUCUGAGCGCAGAUCUCGCCAUGCUGGGAGGCUUCACUUACUUAAGAAGGUUCAACCAUGUACCCCCGUACCAGGAAACUUAAUACUCGUAUGUUGCCCGUAGACGCUGUAUGCAGGAAGUGAACUUACUGAUGACACAUAGAGACUCUCUUCCCGUGACGAGGUGUCUGAGCGCAGAUCUCGCCAUGCUGGGAGGCUUCACUUACUUAAGAAGGUUCAACCAUGUACCCCCGUACCAGGAAACUUAAUACUCGUAUGUUGCCCGUAGACGCUGUAUGCAGGAAGUGAACUUACUGAUGACACAUAGAGACUCUCUUCCCGUGACGAGGUGUCUGAGCGCAGAUCUCGCCAUGCUGGGAGGCUUCACUUACUUAAGAAGGUUCAACCAUGUACCCCCGUACCAGGAAACUUAAUACUCGUAUGUUGCCCGUAGACGCUGUAUGCAGGAAGUGAACUUACUGAUGACACAUAGAGACUCUCUUCCCGUGACGAGGUGUCUGAGCGCAGAUCUCGCCAUGCUGGGAGGCUUCACUUACUUAAGAAGGUUCAACCAUGUACCCCCGUACCAGGAAACUUAAUACUCGUAUGUUGCCCGUAGACGCUGUAUGCAGGAAGUGAACUUACUGAUGACACAUAGAGGCUCUCUUCCCGUGACGAGGUGUCUGAGCGCAGAUCUCGCCAUGCUGGGAGGCUUCACUUACUUAAGAAGGUUCAACCAUGUACCCCCGUACCAGGAAACUUAAUACUCGUAUGUUGCCC